RNAcentral lists this ribosomal RNA (490 nucleotides) under uncultured bacterium. RNAcentral describes it as "partial 16S ribosomal RNA". It matches the Rfam family "Bacterial small subunit ribosomal RNA", at positions 30 to 507 of the family's 1533-position model. The record is from RNAcentral.
AUUGAACGCUGGCGGCAGGCCUAACACAUGCAAGUCGAACGGUAACAGGAAACAGCUUGCUGUUUCGCUGACGAGUGGCGGACGUGUGAGUAAUGUCUGGCAAACUGCCUGAUGGAGGGGGAUAACUACUGGAAACGGUAGCUAAUACCGCAUAACGUCGCAAGACCAAAGAGGGGGACCCUCGGGCCUCUUGCCAUCGGAUGUGCCCAGAUGGGAUUAGCUUGUUGGUGGGGUAACGGCUCACCAAGGCGACGCUCCCUAGCUGGUCUGAGAGGAUGACCAGCCACCCUGGAACUGAGACACGGCCCCGACUCCUACGGGAGGCAGCAGUGGGGAAUAUUGCACAAUGGGCGCAAGCCUGAUGCAGCCAUGCCGCGUGUAUGACGAAGGCCUUCGGGUUGUAAAGUACUUUCAGCGGGGAGGAAGGGAGUAAAGUUAAUACCUUUGCUCAUUGACGUUACCCGCAGAAGAAGCACCGGCUAACUACGUG